UAUUAUUGUCGGCAAACCUUCCGAAAGGGAGGGACGCAAAGCUAUGGGCCUACGGUUUUCUUACUAUGGCUGCCAAGUUGCAUGU
This is a non-coding RNA of Aneurinibacillus migulanus, 85 nucleotides long. The record is from Rfam. Lineage: Bacteria; Bacillati; Bacillota; Bacilli; Caryophanales; Paenibacillaceae.